Molecule: ribosomal RNA, 894 nt
Filed under: uncultured bacterium
Lineage: Bacteria
Description: bacterial SSU rRNA
Rfam family: Bacterial small subunit ribosomal RNA
Source: RNAcentral
AUGCAAGUAGAACGCUGAAGGAGGAGCUUGCUCUCUCCGGAUGAGUUGCGAACGGGUGAGUAACGCGUAGGUAACCUGCCUGGUAGCGGGGGAUAACUAUUGGAAACGAUAGCUAAUACCGCAUAACAGUAGAUGUUGCAUGACAUUUGCUUAAAAGGUGCAAUUGCAUCACUACCAGAUGGACCUGCGUUGUAUUAGCUAGUUGGUGGGGUAACGGCUCACCAAGGCGACGAUACAUAGCCGACCUGAGAGGGUGAUCGGCCACACUGGGACUGAGACACGGCCCAAACUCCUACGGGAGGCAGCAGUAGGGAAUCUUCGGCAAUGGACGGAAGUCUGACCGAGCAACGCCGCGUGAGUGAAGAAGGUUUUCGGAUCGUAAAGCUCUGUUGUAAGAGAAGAACGAGUGUGUGAGUGGAAAGUUCACACUGUGACGGUAUCUUACCAGAAAGGGACGGCUAACUACGUGCCAGCAGCCGCGGUAAUACGUAGGUCCCGAGCGUUGUCCGGAUUUAUUGGGCGUAAAGCGAGCGCAGGCGGUUAGAUAAGUCUGAAGUUAAAGGCUGUGGCUUAACCAUAGUACGCUUUGGAAACUGUUUAACUUGAGUGCAAGAGGGGAGAGUGGAAUUCCAUGUGUAGCGGUGAAAUGCGUAGAUAUAUGGAGGAACACCGGUGGCGAAAGCGGCUCUCUGGCUUGUAACUGACGCUGAGGCUCGAAAGCGUGGGGAGCAAACAGGAUUAGAUACCCUGGUAGUCCACGCCGUAAACGAUGAGUGCUAGGUGUUAGACCCUUUCCGGGGUUUAGUGCCGUAGCUAACGCAUUAAGCACUCCGCCUGGGGAGUACGACCGCAAGGUUGAAACUCAAAGGAAUUGACGGGGGCCCGCACAAGCGG